RNAcentral lists this transfer RNA (77 nucleotides) under Caudoviricetes sp. RNAcentral's name for it is "tRNA-Gly". The record is from RNAcentral. Lineage: Duplodnaviria; Heunggongvirae; Uroviricota; Caudoviricetes.
GAGCGUUAGCGUUUUAUCAAAACACGAGAGAGGCUUCCCAAGCCUGUGAGGCGGGUUCGACUCCCGUAUCUCGCUCA